AGGACCGCAGCAAGUGAUUGAUGCAGCACCAAGACAAGUGUGUGGUAUAAAGGAUGUGUCCGACUCCUAAUACCUGCACCAAUUUGAAUUUGGGGGUGAAGAGUCCUUGAAACUGAGGAGUUACCUGUUGGCUCAGAGCUAGAAUACCGUGAAUCAGCUGUUGAAGAUGGUGAAAGGCUCAGGGAAGGGGAGCAUCCAACUGGAGCAGAGGGAAAUGAUCCUAUGGGAAGAGGGAAUUUAAAGGAAUUUCAAGAUGGCCACAUGGAACUGAAUUCAUCCAAACAUUGCCAAAAUUUCUGUGGACAUUUUUGCAAAUAAACCAUCAACUAUGUGAAAGAAAGUUCAAGAAAUAUAAAUAAAAAGGUUCAUAGGUACCAAUGAAAUGAAUCUGAAAACAUUUUUAUUCAAAUGAACAUUUGUAUCUACUUCCUUGGAAUAUUCAUGCAGUUCUAGUUCAGCAUAUGCAAAUACAACACAAAAAUGUAUUUAUGAUGUAAAGUA
Pelodiscus sinensis (Chinese soft-shelled turtle) is the source of this 501-nucleotide non-coding RNA. The record is from RefSeq and is a predicted model, not a curated record. Lineage: Eukaryota; Metazoa; Chordata; Testudines; Trionychidae.